UGUCUCAUGUGCGCAAUGGAUAACGCGUCUGACUACGGAUCAGAAGAUUGUAGGUUCGACUCCUGGCUGGCUCGG
Non-coding RNA from Caranx melampygus (bluefin trevally), 75 nucleotides. NCBI's taxonomy places the organism in Eukaryota, Metazoa, Chordata, Actinopteri, Carangiformes, Carangidae. The record is from the annotation of a GenBank genome assembly.